UACGUAGGGGGCAAGCGUUGUCCGGAUUUAUUGGGCGUAAAGAGCUCGUAGGCGGUUUGGUAAGUCAGGUGUGAAAUCUCCACGCUCAACGUGGAGGGGCCACCUGAUACUGCCAUGACUGGAGUCCGGUAGAGGAGUGUGGAAUUCCCGGUGUAGUGGUGAAAUGCGUAGAGAUCGGGAGGAACACCUGUGGCGAAGGCGGCCCCCUGGGCCGGCCCUGACACUGAGACGCGAAGGCGUGGGGAGCGAACGGG
RNAcentral lists this ribosomal RNA (254 nucleotides) under uncultured bacterium. RNAcentral's name for it is "partial 16S ribosomal RNA". It matches the Rfam family "Bacterial small subunit ribosomal RNA", at positions 524 to 776 of the family's 1533-position model. The record is from RNAcentral.